Molecule: ribosomal RNA, 468 nt
Filed under: uncultured bacterium
Lineage: Bacteria
Description: partial 16S ribosomal RNA
Rfam family: Bacterial small subunit ribosomal RNA
Source: RNAcentral
GACGAACGCUGGCGGCGUGCUUAACACAUGCAAGUCGAACGGAAAGGCCCUGCUUUUGUGGGGUGCUCGAGUGGCGAACGGGUGAGUAACACGUGAGUAACCUGCCCUUGACUUUGGGAUAACUUCAGGAAACUGGGGCUAAUACCGGAUAGGAGCUCCUGCUGCAUGGUGGGGGUUGGAAAGUUUCGGCGCUUGGGGAUGGACUCGCGGCUUAUCAGCUUGUUGGUGGGGUAGUGGCUUACCAAGGCUUUGACGGGUAGCCGGCCUGAGAGGGUGACCGGCCACAUUGGGACUGAGAUACGGCCCAGACUCCUACGGGAGGCAGCAGUGGGGAAUAUUGCACAAUGGGCGAAAGCCUGAUGCAGCAACGCCGCGUGCGGGAUGACGGCCUUCGGGUUGUAAACCGCUUUCGCCUGUGACGAAGCGUGAGUGACGGUAAUGGGUAAAGAAGCACCGGCUAACUACGUG